RNAcentral lists this ribosomal RNA (483 nucleotides) under uncultured bacterium. Its description in RNAcentral is "bacterial SSU rRNA". It matches the Rfam family "Bacterial small subunit ribosomal RNA", at positions 28 to 507 of the family's 1533-position model. The record is from RNAcentral.
GAUGAACGCUAGCGGCAGGCCUAACACAUGCAAGUCGAGGGGUAACGUGAGUGCUUGCACUUGACGACGACCGGCGCACGGGUGCGGAACGCGUAUGGAACCUACCUUUAUCAGGGGGAUAGCCCAUGGAAACGUGGAUUAAUACCCCAUAGUAUUAUUUCAUUGCAUGAUGAUUUAAUUAAAGAAUUUCGGAUAGAGAUGGCCAUGCGUAUCAUUAGCUAGUAGGCGAGGUAACGGCUCACCUAGGCGACGAUGAUUAGGGGUCCUGAGAGGGAGAUCCCCCACACUGGUACUGAGACACGGACCAGACUCCUACGGGAGGCAGCAGUGAGGAAUAUUGGGCAAUGGAGGCAACUCUGACCCAGCCAUGCCGCGUGCAGGAAGACGGCCCUAUGGGUUGUAAACUGCUUUUAUACAGGAAGAACACCACCCACGUGUGGGUGACUGACGGUACUGUAAGAAUAAGGACCGGCUAACUCCGUG